GGGCCCGUAGUUCAACGGAUAGAGCACUUGGCUUCGAACCAAGAGAUCCGGGUUCGAUUCCUGGCGGGCCCACCA
This 75-nucleotide transfer RNA is filed under the name Elusimicrobiota bacterium. RNAcentral describes it as "tRNA-Arg". It matches the Rfam family "tRNA". Rfam says of the family: Transfer RNA (tRNA) molecules are approximately 80 nucleotides in length. Their secondary structure includes four short double-helical elements and three loops (D, anti-codon, and T loops). Further hydrogen bonds mediate the characteristic L-shaped molecular structure. tRNAs have two regions of fundamental functional importance: the anti-codon, which is responsible for specific mRNA codon recognition, and the 3' end, to which the tRNAs corresponding amino acid is attached (by aminoacyl-tRNA synthetases). tRNAs cope with the degeneracy of the genetic code in two manners: having more than one tRNA (with a specific anti-codon) for a particular amino acid; and 'wobble' base-pairing, i.e. permitting non-standard base-pairing at the 3rd anti-codon position. The record is from RNAcentral. RNAcentral also lists the same sequence under 1 other name. Lineage: Bacteria; Pseudomonadati; Elusimicrobiota.